UACGUAGGGUGCGAGCGUUGUCCGGAAUUAUUGGGCGUAAAGAGCUCGUAGGCGGUCUGUCGCGUCUGCUGUGAAAACCCGAGGCUCAACCUCGGGCCUGCAGUGGGUACGGGCAGACUAGAGUGCGGUAGGGGAGAAUGGAACUCCUGGUGUAGCGGUGGAAUGCGCAGAUAUCAGGAAGAACACCGGUGGCGAAGGCGGGUCUCUGGGCCGUUACUGACGCUGAGGAGCGAAAGCGUGGGGAGCAAACGGG
RNAcentral lists this ribosomal RNA (253 nucleotides) under uncultured bacterium. RNAcentral's name for it is "partial 16S ribosomal RNA". It matches the Rfam family "Bacterial small subunit ribosomal RNA", at positions 524 to 776 of the family's 1533-position model. The record is from RNAcentral.